This is a long non-coding RNA of Camarhynchus parvulus, 1623 nucleotides long. The record is from Ensembl. Lineage: Eukaryota; Metazoa; Chordata; Aves; Passeriformes; Thraupidae.
AUGAAAUUCCCGGUUUUCCCAGGACUGGAGCAUUCUCCAUUCCCGGGAUGGAAUUCCCAGUUCUCCCAGGAUCAGAGCAAUCCCUGGGUGAAAUUCCUGGUUUUCCAGGACCAGAGCAUUCCCUGGAUGGAAUUCCCGGUUUUCCCAGGACUGGAGCGUUCCCCAUUCCCUGAAUGGAAUUCCUGGUUUUCCCGGGACUGGAGCAUUCCCUGGAUGGGAAUUCCCGGGUUUCCUGGGGCCGGAGCAUUCCCCGGGAUACAAUUGCUGGUUUUCCAGAACCAGAGCAUUCCCUGGAUAGAAUUCCUGGUUUUCCAGGACCAGAGCAUUCCCUGGAUGAAAUUCCCGGUUUUCCUGGGACCAGAGCAUUUCCUGGAUGAAAUUCUAAAUUCGGUUUUCCCGAAUGUCCCGGGAGUGGAGCAUUCCCCGGAUGAAAUUCCCGGUUUUCCCGGGAUUGGAGCAUUCCCUCUGUGGAAUUCCCAGUUUUCCUGGGUCCGGAGCAUUCCCCGUGUGGAAUUCCCGGUUCUUCCGGGAUCAGAGCACUCCUCGUGUGGAAUUCCCGGUUUCCCCGGGAUCAUUCCCAUUCCCAGGAUGGAAUUCCCGGUUUUCCCAGGACCAGAUCAUUCCCCGUGUGGAAUUCCCGGUUUCCCCGGGAUCAUUCCCAUUUCCCGUGUGGAAUUCCCGGUUUUCCCGGGAGCAUUUCCCGUGUGGAAUUGCCGGUUUUCCCGGGACCAUUCCCAUUCCCCGUGUGGAAUUCCCGGUAGCAUUCCCAUUUCCCGUGUGGCAUUCCCGGUUUUCCCGGGACCAUUUCCCGUGCGCCAUUCCCCGUUUUCCCGGGACCAUUCCCAUUCCCCGUGUGGAAUUCCCGGCAGCAUUCCCAUUCCCCGCGCGGCAUUCCCGGUUUUCCCGGGUCCAUUCCCAUUCCCUGCAUCCCCCUCUUGUCGUUCCAGGCGUUCCGGGGCUCCCGGGGCCGCGCGGCCUCACGGGCGAUGCCGGGUCCGGGGCCGCGGCGGGAGCUCCGGGCCCCGGGGGCGCCCUCGGGGAUUUGGGAGCGCCGGGAGCGCGCGGAGAGCGGGGCCCGAGGGUUCCCCGGCCCCAAGGGCGCCAAGGGCGGGCUGGGCCUGCCGGGAGCCCGCGGGGAACCGGAGACACCGGGCGGGAGCGGAGCCCCGGGAGCCGAGGGGGGAGCGGGAGCGCCCGGAGCCCGCGGGGAGCCCGGGAGCGCCGGGACAGCGGGGACAGCGGGGGAGCCCGGAGAGAGGGGAGCCCCGGGAACACCGGGACCAUGACAGGGACAGGGGACAGCGGGGACACCGGGACUCUGACCGGGACAGGGGACAGCGGGGCCACCGGGACCAUGACAGGGACGGGGACAAGGACGGGGACAGCGGGGAAGCCCGGAGAGAGGGGAGCCCCGGGGACACCGGGACUGCCCGGGACAAAGGGACCAUGACAGGGACAGGGGACAGCGGGGACACCGGGACUCUGACCGGGACAGGGGACAGCGGGGACACCGGUACCAUGACCGGGACGGGGACAAGGACGGGGACAGCGGGGGAGCCGGGAGAGAGGGGAGCCCCGGGGCCACCGGGACCGCCCGGGCCACCAGGGCCACCGGGACCGUGA